RNA transcript from Arachis stenosperma, 3256 nucleotides. RefSeq lists it as uncharacterized. The transcript has 5 exons. The record is from RefSeq and is a predicted model, not a curated record. NCBI's taxonomy places the organism in Eukaryota, Viridiplantae, Streptophyta, Magnoliopsida, Fabales, Fabaceae.
CAUAAUGGAAUUGGAAACCAAACAAAAGAACUCAACUUUUUAGCUCUCUUAUUGAAUGAGAAUCUAACAAGAUAAGGAACUACCUUAGAAGAACCAUUGAGAUGGAGUAGUAGAUUACUGAUUACAACAAUUGAGAAAGUUCUGAAAUUUUGUCUCUGCUUUCAUCUUCAGCAGAUCAGUAUUCAGCCAAACAGGUAUCUCAAAUUGGAAUCAUGCUUCUCAAGUGUAUAAGCUUUCCUGUUUCAAAGAAGACAAGCUCAUCCAAGAAGCACUCUUCAACGGUUAUAGAAUUGUUAUGCCAUCAAUUUUCCCUGGAAGAUCUUAAAAGAUCAACCGACAACUUCAACCAGAAAUUAAUAGUUGGAAAAGGAGGUUUUAGCACCGUAUACAAAGGAUGUCUCAAACACAAUGGUGGAUCAGACCAUACAAUUGCAUUAAAGCUCAAGUGUUGCAACUCCAACCAGCAUUUCCUUGAGUUCAUGAAGGAAAUUGAGUUGCUAUGCCAGUUUCAUCAUCCUAAUUUGAUCUCUCUUGUAGGAUUUUGCAACCAUGAAAAGAAAAAGAUUAUUGUGUAUGAGUUCAUGUGCAAUGGCUCUCUUCAUGAUCACCUAUACAAUAGGGACAAGAAACCACUAUCAUGGCAGACAAGGCUAGAGAUAUGUAUAGGAGUGGCGCGUGGACUACACUACCUUCACGCUGGAGCCAAGCGCUCUAUCUUUCAUUGUGACAUAAAACCUAGUAACAUCCUUUUGGAUAGCAAUAUGGUGCCUAAGGUCUCAGACUUUGGGCUUUCAUUGCAGGGACCACUAUCUACUUCCAAGCCAAAACCAAUUGCAGUAGAUUAUGUUGCAGGUACAUUUGGAUACUUAGCUCCUGAGUGUUUCCAACGCCUGACCGUUACAGAUAAAUGUGACGUUUACUCCUUUGGUAUGGUUCUACUUGUAAUGGUAUGCAUGAAGGAGAAGGAUUUGUUUCUUAACAAGGCCAACAUGUUAGGUAACCAACAUUUGGAGGGGAAGAGUGAAAUCAAAUACUUAGAAAAGUUCAUUGAUGAUCAAGUUCAACCAUGGAAUGUAAUAGCCUUUAUGCAGCGAUUCCCAAUCGAAGAGAUCAUUGAUCCAACCCUCAGGGGAAAGAUUGUACCAGAGUGCUGGGAAGUAUUCAUGGAUGUUACAAAAAGAUGUUUGAUGCAUGAACCUGAUGAACGACCAACAAUGGGUGAAGUAGAGGUGUUGCUUGAGUAUGCUUUGUUAUUGCAGGCACAAGCAGAUAUCAAAAAGAACAAUGGUUGUUAUUCUUUAUCAUCCACCACCAUUAUAAACUUAGGUGAAGUCAUUUGUAUGCAUGAUAUUCAUUUAGAAGAGCUGAUAUUCCAUCAGUUUUUGCUUGCCGAUCUUAGGCGAACAACCUUCGACUUUGAACGCAGAGUCAUCGGUAGAGGAAGCUUUGGUACAGUAUACAGAGGUCGUAUCUUACUAAAUGGAGCUACUUAUCAUUCAAUUGCAAUUAAGAAGUUGGAUUGGUUAUCUAUAUGUGAUAGUGAUAUACAGUGGAAUUUAAAAGAUAUUGAGAAUAUUUCCCAACUUCGCCAUCCUAAUUUGGUCUCUCUUUUUGGAUUCUGUGAUGAACUUGAUGAGAAGAUUCUUGUAUACAUGUAUAUUCCCAAUGGAUCUCUCCAUUAUCACUUAAAUUGGAAUGAAGAAGCUCUAACAUGGAAGAAAAGACUAGAAAUAUGCAUUGGAGUAGCAGAAGGAUUGAGCUACCUUCACACAGCAUCUAUUUUUCACCAUAACAUAAAACUCAGCAACAUCCUUUUGGAUUAUGAUAUGUUGCCCAAACUCUCAGAUUUUGGGCUCCCCUGGUCCAAGAAAAUUCAUGCAGAAGAUUAUGCUGCUCCGGAGUUGUUACAAGGACAUGAUUUCACAGAUAAAUGUGAUGUUUAUUCGUUUGGUAUAGUUCUCUUAAAAGUUGUAUUAACAAACAAGCUACCAAUUGUUGAAGGGGUUAUUUAUCUCAAUCUAGAGGGAAAGAUUGCACCACAGUGUUUGGAAGUAUUCUUGAAUAUCACAAAAUGCUGUUUGAAGUAUGAAGCAAAUGAGAGACCAACAAUGAAUGAAGUGAAAACUCAACUUCAACAAGCUCUGGCACUGCAAGAGGAGGCAGAUUCCAGCACAAGUGGUGAUUACAACUUGUUAUCUGUGAUCUUUGAUCCUCCGGUUGGUGGAAGCAUAUAUUAUUAAGAACAUUGCAAGUGUGAGAAGGGAUUGAGAAUUGAAAAAGUAAAUUUUAUAAGCUAAAUAGUAUAUAAUAAUAUGAAUAAUGUGAACCGCUUAUAUGGUUCUAUCCUUUUUGGUAAUUUCACCUCUCACAGAAGAACACCCUUCUUUGAUAUUUCUGCCACCACCUUCAGUGUCUCAAAUUGUCAUAAUGGUUCUGAAAUGUUUAUGCUUUGGUGAUUGGAAGAAGGGGAAUGCAAGUUGUUCAUCUAAGAAACAAUAUCCAACAGUUAUAGAAGAGCUAUGCCAUCCCUUUUCCUUUCAUGAUCUUAGAAAGUCAACCAACAACUUUGACCAGAAACUAAUAAUGGAAGAAAAGACUAGACAUCUGCAUCGGAGUAGCACAUGCUCUACACUACCUUCACUCUGGAGUUAAGCUGGCUAUCUUUCAUCGUGACAUAAAUCCAAUUAAUAUUCUUUUGGAUAAGAAUAUGAUGCCAAAACUUGCCAUAAUGUGUUGAACUACUUAAUUCAACAUGAAGAGCACAUUCUUGAGGAGACACUAGAUCCAAUUCUGAAAGGAAAGAUUGCGCCAGAAUGUUGGCAAGUAUUCACUAGUGUCAUACAAUGUUGCUUGGAGUACGAAGCAGAUGAGCGACCAACAAUGGGGGAAGUAGAGGUAUUGCUUGAGCAUGCUCUCUCGUUGCAGCAACAAGCUGAUAUUAUAACGAAUGCUGCUCGCUAUACCUUAUCAUCCAUUACCCCUUGUUAUUGUCAACAGCCAUAUAAUGAUCAUGAAUCACUACCCAGAUAGUGCUGGAUAUUUUUUUACUCCAAUCAUUAGACUUCAACAGCUACACUCACCAAAUCAAUAGGUUUUAUGGCUGCUCUGUUUUCUUUUCUUUAUUCUCGCUCUAAAAACACAGUACUUAUAGAUCUAACAUAGGUUUGCACUAAAUGAGGCGUAUCCUGUUGCACUUGAUUUGUGGUGAUCUAUCGAUCAAUAUGUAACAUAUCAAAUAGAUUAAGCAAAGAAAGAA